AGCGAACGCUGGCGGCAGGCCUAACACAUGCAAGUCGAACGAACCUUUCGGGGUUAGUGGCGGACGGGUGAGUAACACGUGGGAACGUGCCUUUAGGUUCGGAAUAACUCAGGGAAACUUGUGCUAAUACCGAAUGUGCCCUUCGGGGGAAAGAUUAAUCGCCUUUAGAGCGGCCCGCGUCUGAUUAGCUAGUUGGUUGAGGUAGUGGCUCACCAAGGCGACGAUCAGUAGCUGGUCUGAGAGGAUGAUCAGCCACAUUGGGACUGAGACACGGCCCAAACUCCUACGGGAGGCAGCAGUGGGGAAUCUUGCGCAAUGGGCGAAAGCCUGACGCAGCCAUGCCGCGUGAAUGAUGAAGGUCUUAGGAUUGUAAAAUUCUUUCACCGGGGACGAUAAUGACGGUACCCGGAGAAGAAGCCCCGGCUAACUUCGUG
RNAcentral lists this ribosomal RNA (434 nucleotides) under uncultured bacterium. RNAcentral describes it as "partial 16S ribosomal RNA". It matches the Rfam family "Bacterial small subunit ribosomal RNA", at positions 29 to 507 of the family's 1533-position model. The record is from RNAcentral.